AGAAACUUAGGUUACUUAAACCGAAGGCCUUCAAAGCCUUAGACAAGAGCUCCUCCCUCUUAGUUUCUG
Molecule: transfer RNA, 69 nt
Filed under: Sayornis phoebe (Eastern phoebe)
Lineage: Eukaryota; Metazoa; Chordata; Aves; Passeriformes; Tyrannidae
Description: tRNA-Trp
Rfam family: tRNA
About the family: Transfer RNA (tRNA) molecules are approximately 80 nucleotides in length.
Source: RNAcentral